Molecule: long non-coding RNA, 660 nt
Organism: Syzygium oleosum
Lineage: Eukaryota; Viridiplantae; Streptophyta; Magnoliopsida; Myrtales; Myrtaceae
Exons: 2
Source: RefSeq, a predicted model, not a curated record
CAUAACGGUUGUUGGAGAUUCUUGUUUUGAGUUGCUUCCUGCACCCGCUUUACUUUGGGUCAUUUCUUUAAUCCCACCGUAGCAUUGUUUUAUGUUCUUUCCAUUAAUAAUGGUACUUUGUGUUACUUGUUCACAUUUAACGUCGAGAUUUUUAUUAGGUGGUUUCGUUGGCUAGAUUCGUUCUUUCCCAAAAAAUGUCAUUUGUUAAAUAUAGUUGAAGAAGUAAAUUAUUAUGCUGUAUUAAUAUUCUCACUAGGGGGAAAUUUCUUCCUAUCGAUAAGUAAGAUGCUCAUUAUACGGGCCUUUAGAUUUAUAGAUAUAUGCCCCUUCUUUUUUUGGUUGUUGAUCUUUUUCCCUUAUUCACUGAACUUCUACAAAAGUUGCUUAUGAUAAUCGAACUGUGCUCGAGUGCCAAAUUGGAAAGCUACUUUGGUUGACUAAAGAUUUUGUAUUUAAGUGGGUCUAAGCCUUCUUGGAUAUCUACUCAUCGGAGAAUUGUUUGAUGCAUUCAUUAGUGCACGGCAACCUUCUUAUAGACUAUUUGACCAUUUGCCAAGAUCGUAAGUAGAGCUCUGCAGCUUUCUAGCCAAGCGGGGUAAAAAAAAACAAAAUUAGAGCUCUGCCGCUUCUCUUCUGUAUCAGUGCCUUGCACAGCUACAC